CACCCCCCACCUCGGGGCUUGCACGCGCCCUCCCCGCCCUGCCGCCUCCCUCCCCGCCGGCCACCCCUGGCCAUUCCGGGGCUCCCCGCCCGGGCAGGAGUUUCCGCGCGCCCGGCACCCCCGCCCACCCCCGGGCCAUUUACCAAUGUGGUUGUCCUCGAUGUGCUCGAUGAGGUCGGCCAGGGUGGGGAAGUGGAGUCCGCAGCCCCCAAAUCGGCAGAGCACAGUGAGACAGCCAGAGUGACAGUAACUAUCUUAUGAAUGUGAGAAUGUGGACCACACUAGGAUGGUGAACUGGAACUGCCCUAUCAGCCCUGCACUGCCUAUUUCUGGAAUUCUCAUUCUGUGAGAGAAUAAUAAAUUCCUAUUGAUUUAAACCA
Molecule: long non-coding RNA, 380 nt
Organism: Sapajus apella (tufted capuchin)
Lineage: Eukaryota; Metazoa; Chordata; Mammalia; Primates; Cebidae
Exons: 2
Source: RefSeq, a predicted model, not a curated record